Molecule: ribosomal RNA, 497 nt
Filed under: uncultured bacterium
Lineage: Bacteria
Description: bacterial SSU rRNA
Rfam family: Bacterial small subunit ribosomal RNA
Source: RNAcentral
ACUCAAAGGAAUAGACGGGGGCCCGCACAAGCGGAGGAACAUGUGGUUUAAUUCGAUGAUACGCGAGGAACCUUACCCGGGCUUGAAAGUUAGCGACGGACUGUGAAAGCGGUCUUCCCUUCGGGGCGCGAAACUAGGUGCUGCAUGGUUGUCGUCAGCUCGUGCCGUGAGGUGUCGGGUUAAGUCCCAUAACGAGCGCAACCCUUACCGUUAGUUGCCAUCAGGUAAAGCUGGGCACUCUAGCGGGACUGCCGGUGUAAGCCGAGAGGAAGGUGGGGAUGACGUCAAAUCAGCACGGCCCUUACGUCCGGGGCGACACACGUGUUACAAUGGGAGGAACAGAGGGUAGCUACUUAGCGAUAAGAUGCCAAUCUCGAAACCCUUUCUCAGUUCGGAUCGGAGGCUGAAACUCGCCUCCGUGAAGUUGGAUUCGCUAGUAAUCGCACAUCAGCCAUGGUGCGGUGAAUACGUUCCCGGGCCUUGUACACACCGCCCGU